UAGAGGCUUCUGGUCUCCUCCGAGGGGUGUGAGAGGGGACAGAUCUUUGGCAGGGUGCGUGUGGAAGGGCAAGGUGAAGAGCAUGUUGCUUCUCUUGGCGUUGAACUGGUCUGACAGACUGCAGCGUGUGCCACCUUCCUGGAGGAGCAGCCAAAGCUUUGUUGAUUUGGCAGCACAAAUAAGCUUUCUGUCAACAAUGCAAAGAAGUUUUCGGUACCUGGCCAGGUGCAUGCUGGCAGCUUCUGGUCUGUGUGUGUGUGAGCUGGCCUAGCUCUGUCUCGUUACUGCAGCGUCCUAAGAGGAGGCAUUCCCUGUGAAGUCCUGGUAUAAUUAACCAGGCAGGCUGGGCAGCAUGACAAACUGCUGAGAUGAUGCCAGCUUUGCAAGCAAUAGUUUACACUUUCUCAUCGCUCUGAGAAGUAUCCCUUGGUUUGUAGUAGAUUUUCUGGCUUCAGUGCGUAGUUGCAUCAGGUGGCUCUUAACUGGGGAGAUUGGGAAGAGAUGGACAGCUCAUACAUUCAUACAGUCCGUGGUAUUCAUACACUCCCUGCUUAGUGUGUGUCACUGAAACAGUGCUGUGGGCUGAUGAGGAGAUGGAGAAGCACUUGUGACCACGCUGUACAGUUUGGAAGGUGAGGAGGAGAAGGCUUAGCCCUAAUGUCUACCUAAAAUGCUAACCUGGGGUUCCCCACCUAGAUGUCAAGGCAGUCGUGCUUCACACGAACUGUAACAGCUCCAUCUAGUGCUAACACUUCCAUUUACUGCUGGAGGAUCUGGGUACAGCUCUGCCACUGGAAAAUCAGUGGCUCGACUAAUGUGCAGUAAUUUCCCAUGUAUGCACAGUUAAUGAAGAUUAAAACAGUGAACUGGCUAAGCUGUUGCUUUUACUUUUUAUUGUCUGUACCUAUAGGCAACUAUUAAGGUGUAGGGCUCAAAAGGGGCUGUUGAGGCUAGGGUAUUUGGGUCAAGAUCCUUUGGGCAGAUAAAAAAUGAAGCUGUGGCAGCCCUGUGAAGGGUUUGCUAUGGAAUUUGCCCUCCCAGCCUGGUCAAGGUAAGUGGAACUCUUGAUGUUGCUGAUGCUCUGCUAUAUAGAGACCAAUUUGAUAUUCAGUAGUCUGAAUUCACCUUUUAUGAGUUAAGCUCUUAAAGGUGAAAUACAGGAGCUUUUCUGGAAGCAUUAAGAUGUGACUGAAAGCUUGAUAUGCAUGUCAGUAAUAUUCCAGGAUACCUAAUCUCUUUUGAGAUCAAAUGUGACUAAUCUACUGCAAGGUCCCCAUGAGUUCACACCCUUAAAAUCUGAACAGAUGCUUUCAGGAAGGGUUUUUCUCUUUUGUUUCAAGCAAAAUGUGCUUAGUUGUCUUAAGGUUCUGGCAUGGAGCACAGAGCAUGCUUUUGAAGCCAGCUCCUCAAUUGCAGCCAUCAGAAAGGGUUUGCAAGGAUCACAUCUGGCUGCCGUCCACUUGGUUCAUCUUCUGGAAUUAUGCAAUAUUGUAUUUCUGGUCUCCAAAACCAUGUUGUGAGUAAUGCUGUUCCCUAAGCCGAUUUCUGUAGUAGUAUGUCAUGAUGUGCUGGUAGAAUAGCAGGGCAAGGACAACCGUGUUUAACAAUACUCCACUUGGAUGUUUGUGUGGAAAAAUAGCAGCUGCUUGUCCGAGUUCAAUGCAGGUCUUCAGCGGGUUGUGUGGAUUCCUGAGCUCUGGACUCCACCUGCUGGGUAAACAUCUACUAGCAAAUCUCCAAGCCCAAAACAUCUGCUGUGUGUUACUGGGCGAUCAGCAGGAAGGCUUUUCAGAUCUUGUCUCCCUACCUAAUAUCUACUUCUGCUGUAAACACUAAUUAGCUGAAGAGCUUUGGGAAAGCAACAUCAGUAAAUAUCUACUAAGCAAAAGACAGGAGGGGGAGGGCCUUGUGGCCAGGGUAUAAAAGCAUGAGAGAGGAGGUAUAAAGCACCUCCAUGUGGAAUGGUUAAGCCUUAGCCUUCCUGGGUUUGGUCUGGUAGGAUGAAAUAACUGGCCUCAUCCCUCUGGGCUACAUGAAAGUGGAUUACUGUGGGAGACAUGAGCGGUUAGUUUAUAAAUCCACUUUCUUUUUGUAUUAGCUUGUACAGCCUUUAUCUCUAAAUAGGGAGUAAAGGAAAAGUGGUGGUGAGCAAGGUGAACCAGGGAUCUGAAAUAUGAAAGCCUUUCUAGAGCAUUAAGCGUGAGUCCCAUAGCUGGGUGUAAUAAAGUAGCAGCAAUACCAGGAUCUACCGAAAGAAUACGAGACUCAGUUUAAUGAAUUAACAAAGACUCUGGGGAAUGUGUUCCCUGAGGCUAAAGGGGGACACAGCUCCUUAUUCCUUAAUCUCUGCCUGCACAGGCUUGAUUCUGCUUCUUGAUCUUGUGGAAUGCAUCUUCACCAUAGCUACAGGCUGUGGGGAGACACCUCAGCUUUGAAACUUGUGCAGUCCUCAGAAUGCUGGAAGCUGCCUUUUUUUCAGUGUUUGCAGCUCUUCUUAUUAGGAGUGUUACUGUACAGCACAGGAACUGCAGGAAAACGUAGUAGCUUUAACUUCAGCUUGUAGUAACUUAAUAGGUUUGCUUGGAAAAUGUUUUGUCAAGACAGAUAUGUGUAUCUUUGUCUUCAUUCCCUGGCAUAAACAUGGUAGGUAAUCUGGCUAGACAAAAAAAAGGUGUUUUUUUUU
This is a long non-coding RNA of Calidris pugnax (ruff), 2683 nucleotides long. RefSeq lists it as uncharacterized. Lineage: Eukaryota; Metazoa; Chordata; Aves; Charadriiformes; Scolopacidae. The transcript is spliced from 2 exons. The record is from RefSeq and is a predicted model, not a curated record.